GCCCGGCUGGCUCAGUCUGUAGAGCAUGAAACUCUUGAUUUGGGGGUUGUGAGUUUGAGCCUCCCGUUGGGUA
This 73-nucleotide transfer RNA is filed under the name Canis lupus familiaris (dog). It matches the Rfam family "tRNA". From Rfam's summary of the family: Transfer RNA (tRNA) molecules are approximately 80 nucleotides in length. Their secondary structure includes four short double-helical elements and three loops (D, anti-codon, and T loops). Further hydrogen bonds mediate the characteristic L-shaped molecular structure. tRNAs have two regions of fundamental functional importance: the anti-codon, which is responsible for specific mRNA codon recognition, and the 3' end, to which the tRNAs corresponding amino acid is attached (by aminoacyl-tRNA synthetases). tRNAs cope with the degeneracy of the genetic code in two manners: having more than one tRNA (with a specific anti-codon) for a particular amino acid; and 'wobble' base-pairing, i.e. permitting non-standard base-pairing at the 3rd anti-codon position. Lineage: Eukaryota; Metazoa; Chordata; Mammalia; Carnivora; Canidae. The record is from Rfam by way of RNAcentral. RNAcentral also lists the same sequence under 1 other name.